RNAcentral lists this microRNA precursor (199 nucleotides) under Oryza glumipatula. Its description in RNAcentral is "MIR812 microRNA precursor family". It matches the Rfam family "MIR812 microRNA precursor family". Lineage: Eukaryota; Viridiplantae; Streptophyta; Magnoliopsida; Poales; Poaceae. The record is from Rfam by way of RNAcentral.
CUUUUAUACACACAUACUCCCUUCGUCCCAAAAACGUCUCAUAUGAAAUUUUUUUUAUAAUUAUUAUUUUCAUUGUUAUUAGAUGAUAAAACAUAAUUAAUAUUUUAUGCGUGACUUGUAUUUUUAAUUUUUUUCAUAAUUUUUUUAAAUAAGACCGACAGUCAAACGUUGGACAUAGAAACCCAGGGUUUGUCUUUUU